This 253-nucleotide ribosomal RNA is filed under the name uncultured bacterium. Its description in RNAcentral is "partial 16S ribosomal RNA". It matches the Rfam family "Bacterial small subunit ribosomal RNA", at positions 524 to 776 of the family's 1533-position model. The record is from RNAcentral.
UACGGAAGGGGCGAGCGUUGUUCGGAAUCAUUGGGCGUAAAGGGCGCGUAGGUGGUCUUGUAUGUCUACCGUGAAAGCAUACGGCUCAACCGUGUUCCGUCGGUAGAAACUGCAGGACUUGAGGCUGGGAGGGGCUGGUGGAAUUCCCUGUGUAGCGGUGAAAUGCGUAGAGAUGGGGGAGAACACUCGUGGCGAAGGCGGCCAGCUAGACCAGUUCUGACACUGAGGCGCGAUAGCGUGGGGAGCAAACAGG